AUUCCAGUGAAGAAAUAUUUCCAAGUUGACUUGCAGAAUUUCCCAAACGGAGAAGUUCUUCCAUUUGGUGUGCCAGAGGAUUGGAAGCAGUGGUGAGCCCUGGAGACAAGGGAACAUUUACUGGCCCUUGUUCAUACCCUGCCCAGUACAGCUCACAGCAGGCUGAAGGCGGUGCAGCGUGACCCGACCUGAUGUGCAGAAGUUCGCUCUGCAACUCCUCUGAGCUGCUCAACGCAGUGACGGGGGCUAAUGGGAAAGGACUGACUCCACCACGCUGGAAGCUGUUGGAAGGGAAGGGAAAGAAUGAAUGCAGGCAAAAGGCAAGAGUGUUACAGAGUAUUUGAAAAUCACUGACACCUUCAUCUUGAGAGAAGCAGGCUUAAAUAUUUUCCAUCUUUGCACCCUCCCAAAGACAGCAUCACCCAUCUAGCCGUCCACCCACUCAUCCAACAUCGACCAUCAGCUCAUCACUGCCCUUGGUGCAGAAGACUGGUGAACAAGACCCGUGAGCUCCAUUGAUGAACUUCAUAAAUUGGCUGUCCUCACGCCUGGGCAAGCUCUUGGUGCCCCGCUGUCUGAGAUCUGACAUCACGCCACCACGCUGGGCACCAUCCAGCCCAGCGACCCCUAGGUGCCCUGAGGUUUGAUGACUGCCGUGGGGAGACAGGGCGUCUGUGUUUACUGAUGACCUUGGACAGGCCAUCUAUCACUGGAGACCUUUGCGACCCUCCGGGGGGAGCUGCCUGAGAGUGAAACAUCGGGACGCCUGGAGCUAACAGGAGACAUUCUGGGAGACUGCUGGCCCUCUGGAGAAUGCAACCUCCCUGCACGUUGGCCUUCUUGACAGAACAGGAAAUACCGCACUCGGGGUGAGCUGAGCACCCUGACCCCUUUCCCAGUCGCCGCCAGGCUCUCUUCUCUGGUUUUCCUUCCCUUUUCUGCCAUAUCAUGUUCUGCCAUUGCCUGCCAAGCCCUUGUAUGUUUUGGCUGCUCCUUGGCCCUGAGCCUAUAAUCCUCUCCGACUUCUGACCCAGUUAAUUUACAAAAGCAAGAGCCCGAGUUCCAGCCAUUCAAAAACCCAGAUUUCUUCCCCCCAGCUCUCAGGGAUGUAAUCAGCAGGACACAGUGCAUACAUGUAGCGGCUCCCUUGAAUGCUGGAGGAGGUGGCAACCUGCUGGCUAGAACCCUGUAAGUCUGGCCAGAGCAGCUGGGCCCAGGUCACAACCCUGUCCCCCUGAGUAGGGGACACUCGACUUUGGGAUCUGUUGUCAGUUCUCUUUGUUGUUGCUUUUGGAGCUGGGUUGAACCCGGCUCCCGUGGCUGUCAAGCACAGCCCUGUCAGUCACAUGCUUAUCCAAACCCUUUCAGGAUGCUUUCUUAUUCUCUGCCACUGUAAUUCCUUGAGGGGAUAAAAUUCGUGUAUUAUUCCUGCUGUGUUGAAGUAGGCCUUCAAUUAAAUUAUUCUAAUAUAACCUUGGUCACAUUUCGGGGGUGACCCUUAUUUUAGUGAGAGAGGCUCGGUGAGUGAAUCUGGGUCCCCUGCCUCUGCACCAUGCCUGUCUUGACAGGGGCCCACUUCAGUUGGAUGUUCAGUCAGCUCUGAGGCUUAGGACCUUAAAUCCUCCUCCAACUACUGAAACCUCAUUUUGACAGCUCGGGAUGGAACGGGGAGCUGGAAGCAAGGGGAGACACUGGAGGGUCCUGCAGCGCUCUGGACAAACCAGGCCACGGGACAGGGACCAGCAUGUCCUCAUCCACGAUCCCCAAAUCCAACAAGCUCUGCAAAGCAAAAGUUCUGGAAACUCACUUGGCAGCAAAAUUGAUCCGAACUCACCUCAUUCGGCCGUAAAGCCUGACCUGGUGUGAGGCUAUCGACUGUUUCUCUUCAUUCAUACAUAUCGCUAUAGAAGUAAGAAUGUGUUUGAACACAGAGUGCAGCCCCAGACUCUCCUAGGGUGUUAUAUAAAUUAUGGUCUAAGCACUGUAUGGACUUUCUAAAAAAAAACAAAAACAAACGAGUCAGACUCUGAGGCACAUCCAGUCCCAACGGUUUUGGCUGGGACGCGCCAGCACGAGGAGCCACCCCAAAAGGGUUAGGAAGAGGGCAUAAGCACAUAUCGGGACCAGCCUUCUCCAAAGCGUCUGCUUUGUAUUUCAGUACAGACCUUGGUUUCAUAAUACCGAUAUCUCAGAAGCCACAGGUGGAAGGUCUAAAACCUCGGAAGGUGUGACAGGCCCUUCUGGAGGUGGUACAACCCACCCCCAGAUGACUUCUAAUGCUUUAUUCUGGCACUGAGACCACCCAAAACCACACCACGGAGUUUAACUAAUCAUUCUCCUAUUGCUCCAUGGCCCUAUGUCAGUAAAUGUUGCAUGUCCUUGAAAAACAAACUACUCAAAUGCAUAGAUUGCAUGUAUAUUUUAGAAACUCUUGAUUCAGUCUCCACCAAUGGAACGUUUAAUUGGCCACUUGGGUCAAGCCUGUUUUUUCUAGUGCUCUGUCUGAGCCUGGGACACAGCGGAUGCAGCAGCUUGACCCUCAGCAUGUAGUAGCGUCUCCCGAGGCAGCCUGCUUCCCAGGCAGCUGUGACCAGGGACGGAGCUGGCCCUUGGCCCACGCGGGACAGGGCACCAGCAGCCUCGCUGCCAGCUCCUGUGCACACUCUCCACCUCCUUUCUGCCUGCACCCUCUUCCUGCUUUUCCUCUUUCCCCUCUCACGCCUCUCCCCAGGCUCCCCGAGCAUGGGAGCACACAAAACCGAUUCCAUGCACCAGGCCAAAGAGAAGCAUACCCACGUCAGCCUUGUUGGAAAAGUGGGAUCUAAGACAACGCGCUUGGCUGACAACGACAAUGUGAAUGGGGCUGGCUCUUUUCCAACCAACCAUAAGCCAGAAGUGGACCUGGCACCUUCACGAUGGGCCUCGGCAGCAGUAACCGCGCAACCAAGACAUGCCCGCUAAGCAAGGCUUGGCAGGUGACUCGACUUCCCCUGGCCUCAGUUUCUC
Kogia breviceps (pygmy sperm whale) is the source of this 3006-nucleotide non-coding RNA. The record is from RefSeq and is a predicted model, not a curated record. Lineage: Eukaryota; Metazoa; Chordata; Mammalia; Artiodactyla; Physeteridae.